Molecule: ribosomal RNA, 253 nt
Filed under: uncultured bacterium
Lineage: Bacteria
Description: partial 16S ribosomal RNA
Rfam family: Bacterial small subunit ribosomal RNA
Source: RNAcentral
UACGGAGGAUCCAAGCGUUAUCCGGAAUCAUUGGGUUUAAAGGGUCCGUAGGCGGUUUUGUAAGUCAGUGGUGAAAUCUGGUCGCUCAACGAUCAAACGGCCAUUGAUACUGCAAGACUUGAAUGAUUGUGAAGUAACUAGAAUAUGUAGUGUAGCGGUGAAAUGCUUAGAUAUUACAUGGAAUACCAAUUGCGAAGGCAGGUUACUAACAAUUUAUUGACGCUGAUGGACGAAAGCGUGGGGAGCGAACAGG